RNAcentral lists this ribosomal RNA (440 nucleotides) under uncultured bacterium. RNAcentral's name for it is "bacterial SSU rRNA". It matches the Rfam family "Bacterial small subunit ribosomal RNA", at positions 338 to 795 of the family's 1533-position model. The record is from RNAcentral.
CCUACGGGUCGCACCAGUCGGGAAUUUUGCGCAAUGGACGAAAGUCUGACGCAGCAACGCCGCGUGAGGGAUGACGGCCUUCGGGUUGUAAACCUCUUUUGUCAGGGACGAUGAUGACGGUACCUGACGAAUAAGCCACGGCUAACUACGUGCCAGCAGCCGCGGUAAUACGUAGGUGGCAAGCGUUGUCCGGAUUUACUGGGCGUAAAGAGCGCGCAGGCGGUCGUUCAAGUCGCCUGUGAAAGCCCCCGGCUCAACUGGGGAGGGUCACGCGAUACUGAUCGACUCGAAGGCAGGAGAGGGUAGUGGAAUUCCCGGUGUAGUGGUGAAAUGCGUAGAUAUCGGGAGGAACACCAGUGGCGAAGGCGACUACCUGGCCUGUUCUUGAUGCUGAGGCGCGAAAGCGUGGGGAGCAAACAGGAUUAGAUACCCCCGUAGUC